UACGGGGGGGGCAAGCGUUGUUCGGAAUUACUGGGCGUAAAGGGCUCGUAGGCGGCCAACUAAGUCAGACGUGAAAUCCCUCGGCUUAACCGGGGAACUGCAUCUGAUACUGGAUGGCUUGAGUUCGGGAGAGGGAUGCGGAAUUCCAGGUGUAGCGGUGAAAUGCGUAGAUAUCUGGAGGAACACCGGUGGCGAAGGCGGCUUCCUGGACCGACACUGACGCUGAGGCGCGAAAGCUAGGGGAGCAAACGGG
Molecule: ribosomal RNA, 253 nt
Filed under: uncultured bacterium
Lineage: Bacteria
Description: partial 16S ribosomal RNA
Rfam family: Bacterial small subunit ribosomal RNA
Source: RNAcentral